This 347-nucleotide long non-coding RNA is filed under the name Elaeis guineensis (African oil palm). Its description in RNAcentral is "long non-coding RNA (EGUI_LNC033183)". The record is from RNAcentral. Lineage: Eukaryota; Viridiplantae; Streptophyta; Magnoliopsida; Arecales; Arecaceae.
UCCGAUAGAUGAACAGUACCCUUAUUACUCUCUAAAAAGUCAAACAGCUCCUCUCUAUAAUAAACAUGAUGUGAACAUACAGAAUUUAAAAUCUACUAUAGAGAAUAAGUAAAUACCUCAUGAGACACCAGAAGAACACCAUCACUUUCUUCUGUAUCGCUACUUUGGACUACUACUACCAUAGUAGCUUUUAUCCAAUCUCUGAGAUAUGGGCAAUCUCUGACUCGAUGCCCAAACUUAUCAUACUUAUAACAUCUAAUCUUGCUGUAAUCCCUCGACUUAGACUGCCCACCUUACGAUCCUCUGUCCCUUCAUCCUCUGCCACCACCUCCUUCAGUCACUGCCAA